GGUUGAAAUGAUGUGGAUGUCUCGGCGCCGAGCGGAGCGAGACGAAAAAAUUUUUGGACCUUUUUAUGCAGAAAAUUACUUUUUAUUUAAGCACAUGUACUCCCACAGAAUCCGACACUAGUAAGAUUUUUGUUUAAAUUCAAAAUUCCCACCAAUACAUAUAUUUAUAUUUUUAACCAAAUGUUAUUGUUUCCUCGAAACUACCAUCAUUCAAUUCAUAAAUAUUUGAUGUAAAGUUUCCCACCCCAGUGGCGGAUCCAGAAAUUUUCAUAAGUAUGGGCCCGCUCCGGUCAUGCUUCAGUGAUUCCCUAUAUAAGCAACCAAAUUUUUCGCAGAAAAGGGGAGACCCGGGCCGCCUUGCCCCCCCCCUUAAUUCCGCCUCUGUUCCUAAUCUUAAAGUUAUAUUUGACAUAUAGGAACUGAAGUGACUUCUCUUUCCAGGAAUUUGAAUCUACAAUCUUGAAUUUUUGAUUUUUUUAUUACUGAGCUAAACGCGUUGCAGGAGACAUAGAAAUACCGGGCGUCCGAUCGUCCGGUCUUGUUAGCACUCUUAUGUGUACAAUUCUUGUCAGAUUAAGUGAAACUCAUAUCAUAAGCAAUGUCUUUGACAAUUUGGAAAAUAAGUCGUGAUUAAAUAUUUUUAACCAGUUAUGACCAUUUGAAAUAUAAAUU
This 672-nucleotide long non-coding RNA is filed under the name Mytilus galloprovincialis (Mediterranean mussel). Lineage: Eukaryota; Metazoa; Mollusca; Bivalvia; Mytilida; Mytilidae. The record is from RNAcentral.